Molecule: ribosomal RNA, 501 nt
Filed under: uncultured bacterium
Lineage: Bacteria
Description: partial 16S ribosomal RNA
Rfam family: Bacterial small subunit ribosomal RNA
Source: RNAcentral
AUUGAACGCUGGCGGCAGGCUUAACACAUGCAAGUCGAGCGGGGGAAGGUAGCUUGCUACUGGACCUAGCGGCGGACGGGUGAGUAAUGCUUAGGAAUCUGCCUAUUAGUGGGGGACAACAUCUCGAAAGGGAUGCUAAUACCGCAUACGUCCUACGGGAGAAAGCAGGGGAUCUUCGGACCUUGCGCUAAUAGAUGAGCCUAAGUCGGAUUAGCUAGUUGGUGGGGUAAAGGCCUACCAAGGCGACGAUCUGUAGGGGGUCGGGGAGGAUGAUCCGCGACACGGGGACUGAGACACGGCCCAGACUCCUACGGGAGGCAGCAGUGGGGAAUAUUGGACAAUGGGGGGAACCCUGAUCCAGCCAUGCCGCGUGUGUGAAGAAGGCCUUAUGGUUGUAAAGCACUUUAAGCGAGGAGGAGGCUACUCUAGUUAAUACCUAGGGAUAGUGGACGUUACUCGCAGAAUAAGCACCGGCUAACUCUGUGCCAGCCGCCGCCGUAA